This 1089-nucleotide ribosomal RNA is filed under the name Triticum aestivum (bread wheat). RNAcentral describes it as "partial small subunit ribosomal RNA". The record is from RNAcentral. Lineage: Eukaryota; Viridiplantae; Streptophyta; Magnoliopsida; Poales; Poaceae.
AUGGAGUUCCCGCACGGCCACGGCCACGGCCACGGCCGCCGCGACGACGACGACGAAGACCGCCGCGCCCCCGCCCCCUACGGCCGCCACGAGCCUGAUGCCUACGGCGCCCCUCCCCCGUCCUACGGCCGCCGCCCCGACGACGACGCUGGUGAUGCCUACGGCCGCCACCCUCCCGCCGCCUACGGCGCUCCUCCCCCGGCCUACGGUGCCCCGCCUCCCGCCUACGGGGGCGGCCGCGAGGAUGAGUACGGAGGACGCGCUCCGGCCUAUGGCGCCCCGGCCCCGGCCUACGGCGGAGGCCGCGAGGACGACUACGGACGCCACGCGCCCGCCCCGGCCGGCUACGGCGGUGGUGACUACGGGCGCCACGCCCCUGCUCCGGCCUACGGAGGCGGCCGCGACGAGGGCUACGGCGCACCCGCGUACGGCAACGUGGUGCACGUUUCCCACGAGUCCGGCGACGAGAGGCCGCAGUACGGGGGCGGCGGAUCCGGGGGCUACGGCCACGAGACGCGCCCGCACCACGGCGGCGGCGGGGGGGCGCCCCCGGCUUCCAGGCAGCCGACGUACAGGAUCCUCUGCAAGGCCGGCGAGGACAGCUUCAGCCUCGCCGCCAGGGACGGCAAGGUCUGCCUCGUCCGCACCGAUCGCGACGACGACACGCAGCACUGGAUCAAGGACAUGAAGUACAGCACGAGGGUGAAGGAUGAGGAAGGCUACCCUGCCAUGGCACUCGUCAACAAGGCCAGCGGAGAGGCUCUCAAGCACUCCCUCGGCCAAUCCCACCCUGUUCUUCUGACCAGGUACAAUCCAGACACCCUGGACGAAUCGGUCCUUUGGACCGAGAGCAGGGACGUCGGGGCAGGCUACCGCUGCAUCAGGAUGGUGAACAACAUCUACUUGAACUUUGAUGCGCUCCAUGGCGACAAGGACCAUGGCGGUGUGCGCAAUGGAACCACCCUCAUUCUGUGGGAGUGGACUGAGGGCGACAACCAGCGCUGGAAGAUCGUUGCCUGGUGUAAGUUCUAUUCUAUCUCCUGCGCUUGCCGUUGCUCCAGUUCAGUUUCACUCGAACAGUUUGAUUAG